Triticum urartu is the source of this 2091-nucleotide non-coding RNA. The record is from RefSeq and is a predicted model, not a curated record. Lineage: Eukaryota; Viridiplantae; Streptophyta; Magnoliopsida; Poales; Poaceae.
CUGCAGAUGUUGCUCAACUAGGCUUCUCCAAAGAGAAAGCAUCCAAGUCUGAGAUAGAUGCUGCGAUCACCUGUUUUAGCUGCAGAUGUUGCUGAACUAGCCUUCUCCAAAGCACAAGUCUGGGACAGAUGCCGCGCUAACCUGUUCAACUGUUCAGCGAGAAACAACAAAUCGAUGAUCAGGAGGCACAUGGAUCUCAACUGCUCCAUCAAGCACCUGGGUCAUCUUAUGCAUUUUAGGGCGUGUCGCUUGCUCCUGUCAUUGCAGUAGUUGGAGUUCCCUGGUUCGAUCACUUGCCAUACUCAACCUAUUUACAGGUUGACUCCACACACCGCAGUGCCACUGCCACAAACAGCUGGACCCUCUUCAUGUCAAGGGAAGCUGCCUUGUCUUCCAGCACCAGAAGAUUGAUAUAUCCAGCCCAGUCCGUUAGAAUUGCUCUAUCCUCAUGAGAUAUUUCUUGUUCAACAUUUUACCUGCAAGAUAUGAGCUCCAAAAAGGGUAGAUGAGGGGAAGGUUUACAAGGAUAGAGCGUCCAUGGAGCAAAAGAGGUCCCAAGGACCCAAUAAUAUGUCUUGUCUUUCUUCCGCUUGUCGUGUCAUUGCUAAUCUCAGAUCAGGAGCUGCUGUUCUUUGGCACGUUUAGAUACAGUGUUCUGCUCAUGGUGCUUUUCGCCUUUCUGUUAGACAGCAGCAGCUCCUUCCAGCAAUGAACUUGGUGAAAUACCAGACUGCCAAAAAACAAAACUUGGUGAAAAAAAGUGCAGAAACAGUUCAACAUGCACAUCUCAUGCAAUUAUCCUGAUUGAUAGUGUACUUGUGCUCAUGGCAGCAAGAGCCCAGUCCACAGCUAUCACUGAAAGUAGAUCAAACUGGUUGGAUGUUGAAUGAUGUUCAUCAAAGUCACGACUCUGGGCUUGGACGUCUGCUUGGCACCCUCUGUACUUCUGCUGAUCAAUGAAUGCAUAACAUGUUGGGAACUGGCAAAUGGCAACCCACCUCUGGUUCCUGGUCCAGUCAAAUCUGCAGUACCUGUGCUUUAAUUUUGUGUUGAACUGCUGUGGUACAUGUUCAGCGUGCAUACUCUGCUUGCAUCUCCUGUUACAACGAUGUUGCAGAUGCCCCUUGAGAUGAAGUUGCAGGAACGUUCCACUGGAUGCUCGCUGCUGCCAUCUUUGGUAGAUGCAUCGCCGGAAUUCGCCAUCUGUUUCAAGCUGGGACGGUGGUGGUGGUCUGCCAUGCAGGUCAUCUCCACAUAUGUGAUGCUGGCACGGUGAAGUACUACCAGCUGUGAGCCGCUCCUGACGAUGUCACUGGACCAAGACGAGCUGUAUUGGUUUCCACAGAGUGCAGCCACAGCGUAAAACACGGGGUCUCUCUCAUAAUCUUGCACAUUGAGGAGAAGCCUGCCACCGGUGUUGUCUGUCGCCAUGGGCCGGCUGCAGAGUUUUAUCCCAUGGAGCAUUGUUAAGCACUAGAUUGGGCAGGUCGGUAUUGGCCGGGUUGGUGAAGGUGUCCAAACCAACUGCCCUGGUAAGCACAGUCUCUGGUGUCUGUCGUAGGAUGCACAGAUGAAUCUGGGAUUCCAAAGCUCUGAGUGUGCUGAAGGAGCCACCCAAACUGUGCUUCAACUGGCAUUCGCAUGCUGUAGGUGGUGUAUCAAACGAUGGCCUUGCCAAACCAGAGGGUGACAAGCGAGCCAAAGGUUGUGUUGCGCUGAUGGAGCACUUGAGGAUGAGCAUCUUACAAGGAGGAUGGAGAAUUCGGGAGCCACCAUUUCUCUUUGCUAGUUGCAGCAGCUCUUGCUUGAGGCUGUAAACCUUCCACAUUAUCAGGAGCAUGGUUGAUUUAGACCAUCAAGUUAAUCUAUUGCCUAAUAUACUUUCUGGAAACGCGACAAGAACAAAUCCUUCACUGGCUUAAUCGUUUGAAGCUUUUUCCUCUCCAAACAAUGGUUGAUUGCCCGAAGGCUGAGCUACUGUAGUAUGUUUUUUUUUUUGGUUAGAAGGAUAGGGGUUUCCCCGGGCACAUUUUAUUGAAACGAGGCCAGCAGAAAACAGAAAUCAUGUUCAGUGUGCUGUCACACACAGCC